GUAGAAUAAGCUAAAUAAAGCUAGUGGGUUCAUACCCCAAAAAUGAGGUAAUAACUCUUCUACUA
This 65-nucleotide transfer RNA is filed under the name Orobdella ghilarovi. RNAcentral's name for it is "tRNA-Met". Lineage: Eukaryota; Metazoa; Annelida; Clitellata; Hirudinida; Orobdellidae. The record is from RNAcentral.